GUGAAUCAUCGAAUUUUUGAACGCAAAUUGCACUCUCUGGUAUUCCGGAGAGUAUGCCUGUUUGAGGGUCAGUUUAAAUAAAAAUCGGUGUGGUUGUUGUUUUUCGUGGUGACGCACUGGAUUUGGGUUGUCCUGUUUUCGGUUAAGUGACAUAUAAUUUUGCAUGCUUUUUUUUGUCCGUAUUUAAAUGAU
Molecule: unclassified non-coding RNA, 192 nt
Filed under: Glomeraceae sp.
Lineage: Eukaryota; Fungi; Glomeromycota; Glomeromycetes; Glomerales; Glomeraceae
Description: partial contains 5.8S ribosomal RNA and internal transcribed spacer 2
Rfam family: 5.8S ribosomal RNA (bases 1-71)
Source: RNAcentral